GGGGCCGACCUGGUUUCGACCGGACAGGGAAGGCAAUACAUUGCGUAACGUGGAGCAUCCUUGCCACGUAAAAAGGAUGCACAACUUUUAGUUGGCAACGCUAACUACGCACUCGCAGCAUAACCUGCGACACAUCGUUCUCGACGCCUGAUACAGCGCGAUGUGCAAAAAUCGGGCUGGUUCCAAAGUGCUCGCAAGCCAUGGAGGAAUGAGACUUUAGUUUGCGUAGGUCACGCUCAGAUUGUCAAUUGUUCUGAGUGUGUGCCGAGAUUGAACAACUGACUACUUGCGUAGACGUGUAUUGUUGACUGCUUCGGGACGGGAGUUCGAUUCUCCCCGGCUCCAUUG
RNAcentral lists this transfer-messenger RNA (348 nucleotides) under Phycisphaerales. RNAcentral's name for it is "GCA-002718515 sp002718515 Standard tmRNA". It matches the Rfam family "transfer-messenger RNA". From Rfam's summary of the family: Bacterial tmRNA, also known as 10Sa RNA or SsrA, is named for its dual tRNA and mRNA-like properties. Its role is to liberate the mRNA from a stalled ribosome. To accomplish this part of the tmRNA is used as a reading frame that ends in a translation stop signal. RNAcentral also lists the same sequence under 1 other name. Lineage: Bacteria; Pseudomonadati; Planctomycetota; Phycisphaerae. The record is from RNAcentral.